CAUUAUCCAUCCUGCUGAUGAACACUUAAGUUGCUUCCACAUCCUGGCUAUUGAAAAUAAGGCUGCUGUGAACAUUGAGGAACAUGUAUCUUUCAAAAUUAGUGUUUUUAUUUUCUUUCUUCAGAUUAGUAUCCAGAAGGGGGAUUGCUGGAUCAAAUAUUCUUAAUUCGGCUGUAAAUGUCUUUGCUUAGAAGACUUGAUAGUUCGGAAAUGUGAAGUAUUCAUGGAGAAUCGUCUCUCAACAAAUACAUGAAGGGGACACCAGGCGAUUUGCAAGGGCUGAUUUUGAACAUGACCCACAAUGCAUUCUUGCAACAACUCUUCAUCAGGACCCACCAAAUUAGAAGCAGAGGCAACUAUUGUUCCUGAAGCCCGAGUUCCCAGAUAGAGAUCUCUGCCCACCAUCUGCGAUGCCACGGAGACCCUGUUUAGAAACAGCAGCGCUGCCUCGACUAAAAAAUGAUCUGACUCCUGAAAAAGAAGAGACAGUUUCUCAUCCCUUCCACCAAUACCAGCAGAAAUGGCCCCAAGAGACAUUUGCAUUCUGAUGCCCUCACUGUGGCAGAAGAGGUCAGGGUACUCUGAUUGACCAGGCUGGAGUCAUAUGACUGCUGGGUACCUGGAGGCAAGACAGAAGUUCUUCCAGGAAAAAGCAGGUGGCAGUUCCCAAAGGAAAUGGGGAGAGCUGGGUAAGUCAAUCCAACAGAAAACCUGUAGGAAACAGAUGACACUCUUUAGAGAGGGCUAUUUCCAAAAGUAUGGACAGCGACGAGGGAUGGGGCGAAAGCUGGGAUGAGCACCAGGGGAAACUUAGGCCUGAAGGGUCAGGAUGGAAAUCGCUGGUUAAAUCUAGUUAAAUCUGUAGGAGCUGGAACCUCAAGAUCCAUCACGGGGCUGGAGAGAGGAGAGAACACAGCAAAGACCAAACUGCUGCCUGGCAGGAAGAAGUUCACUCUGUCCCGCGCAGCCUCCAGCCUCCCGCCCAUGCCUCUCAUUGGCCACCCAACCAGAGGCCAGGGGCACAUCCUAGAGGCCAGCCCCUUGGGCACAGAGCAGCUGGAGAAGUGCCUGGAGCGGUCAGGAGAGCAAAGGGAGAUGGUGCAGGCAAGACACAGAGAGAGUUAGUCUGUUCUCUGGCUCAAUGCAGGCAGGGCUGGCCUCUCAGGUUUAUGGACUAUACAGCCAGGGGGCCUGAGCUGAGAUCCAAUGCUUGGUCGGUCCCAUGCUCUGCUGUCACCAUCUCGAAAUUCUUAAUCAUUUUUGA
Molecule: long non-coding RNA, 1264 nt
Organism: Phacochoerus africanus (Common warthog)
Lineage: Eukaryota; Metazoa; Chordata; Mammalia; Artiodactyla; Suidae
Exons: 3
Source: RefSeq, a predicted model, not a curated record